GUCAGUGCUAAUAGCGAUGAGGAUCCACCUGUUCCCAUUCCGAACACAGUAGUUAAGCUCAUCAGUGUCGAAAAUACUUGGCGGGUGACUGCCCGGGAAAAUAGAGCAGUGCUGACA
Molecule: ribosomal RNA, 117 nt
Filed under: Ruminococcus sp. A254.MGS-254
Lineage: Bacteria; Bacillati; Bacillota; Clostridia; Eubacteriales; Oscillospiraceae
Also listed under: 1 other name
Source: RNAcentral